This 222-nucleotide ribosomal RNA is filed under the name uncultured bacterium. RNAcentral's name for it is "partial 16S ribosomal RNA". It matches the Rfam family "Bacterial small subunit ribosomal RNA", at positions 524 to 740 of the family's 1533-position model. The record is from RNAcentral.
GACAGAGGGUGCAAACGUUGCUCGGAAUCACUGGGCGUAAAGGGCGUGUAGGCGGGAAUGUAAGUCGGGCGUGAAAUCCCUAGGCUCAACCUAGGAACUGCACUCGAAACUGCGUUUCUUGAGUGCCGGAGAGGAAAGCGGAAGUUCCUGGAUGUAGAGGUGAAAUUCGUAGAUAUCAGGAGGGAACACCAGUGGCGAAGGGCGGCUUUCUGGACGGGUAAC